This 395-nucleotide long non-coding RNA is filed under the name Equus caballus (horse). Its description in RNAcentral is "lncRNA (ENSECAG00000045672.1)". Lineage: Eukaryota; Metazoa; Chordata; Mammalia; Perissodactyla; Equidae. The record is from RNAcentral.
AAUCCACCACAUCCUUUCAUUUCCUGAAACAUACCACGCACUUUCUCAUCUGGGGCCUUCAUUCAUUGCUGCAUUUGGGCUGCUGGAAAGUCUCGUCUCAUUUUCAGAUUACCAUUCAAAGGCGGUGCAAGUCUAUCAAUGGAGAAUCCCUCUGGGACAGUGAUGAGGAACUAGGUGCAAAGCAGCAUGGGAAGACCUGGGGUAGGCGCGGAUUCCUGGCUUCUACUGAACAAACAAUGCGGAAGAGUUUCAAGAGACAAGUAUGCUCUAUGCUUAACAAAGAAAAAUUCACUCAGAAAAAGUGGAGAUCAAAUGUAUCCUAAAAUGUUUCUAUGCAUCAUGAAGCAACUUGAUAACCACAAAGCCGUAACAAGGGAUAAAUGCAAUGAACAUGA